AUAUGCUAAUGGGGUUUUAGUGGCGGUGUAUUUUGUUUCUUCUGCUAUUAUUAGAUCUGUGGUUUUUGUUCGUGGCAUCUCUCUUUUCGAUGAUAGAACGAAAAGUAAUAGAUUUGAUCUGAGUUGAUGGCUUGGAAUUGCGUUUUGUGGGAAAGGCUUUAGUCGACGAUUGUCUCUACUUUAAUUACCAAAUGCUCUAUGACAGUCGAUGGUGUUGUUCGGCGGUGGCGAAUCCAAGGUGUUGAUGAAAGGUAUAAAAUUCACCAAGCAGUGCUGCUCAGUGGGUAGCCAAAGAAGGACGGGUCCUUCGAGAUGGGUUUUCAAACCACCACCUUUUACUUUGGCGUCUUUGCCAGUGAUGGCAUUUUCUUCCCCGGAGAUUCCGACAACAAGACGAUGGGGCUUUCUGGGGAACUUGACGGCAACGGCUCCAGUUGCUUUUUUUUUUUUUUUUUGGGUGAAAGGCUCCUCUUGCUUUAAUUUGUUGUUAGGUUAGGUUUCAUGUUAUUUAUGGAUUUUUAGUUUAAUGGGUUUUGUUGGACCUCUUGUUAGACUUGUAUUUUCUUCUUUCUUCUUUUUUUUUUUGCUUCUAUUUUAUGAAAAUAUAUUGUUUUGGUUAAAAAAAACUUAAUAUAAGGUUUGUCUUUCAUUCA
Neltuma alba is the source of this 653-nucleotide long non-coding RNA. RefSeq lists it as uncharacterized. Lineage: Eukaryota; Viridiplantae; Streptophyta; Magnoliopsida; Fabales; Fabaceae. The record is from RefSeq and is a predicted model, not a curated record. The transcript has 2 exons.